This 292-nucleotide unclassified non-coding RNA is filed under the name uncultured fungus. RNAcentral describes it as "partial contains 5.8S ribosomal RNA, internal transcribed spacer 2, and large subunit ribosomal RNA". The record is from RNAcentral. Lineage: Eukaryota; Fungi.
AACGCAAAUUGCACUCCCUGGCAUUCCGGGGAGUAUGCCUGUUUGAGGGUCGGUAUAAGUAAUGAUCGAUGUGUUGCUUUUUGUUGGUGACAUUUUCGUAGUUGGGUCAUCUUAGCCUUUUUUUGGUUAAGAGACCUGAAAUUGAUGUUGCUUGCGCAUCAUUGACGUUGUAAUCUUUUUUAUGUCGUCUUCGGAUGCCAGGCUCUUAUUAGGUGUGAUCAUGUCGCUGAGCUCAUGCCUAUAUGUUUCGAUUUCUGACCUCAAAUCAGGUAGGAAUACCCGCUGAACUUAA